UAAUGUGAUUUUGAUAUUAGCUGGGGCAACUUGGUUAGUGUCAGAGUCAACACACAACAUUGAUCGGUGCAGCGUUACAAACUUUAGUGUUUAGUAAUAUCAAUGAUGCAUUGGUAGCAAUAUUAAUGUAUCUCCUUUAGCCUAGAAUGCAAGUCCCAUUGACUUGGGCUUAUCUUCCAAUUGAGAUGACUAUAGUGCUGGGGCAACUUGGUACUAUGGUUGAGCCAUAGAGGGUGAAAGUCCCUUAACGUUCAGGUAUUGAUAUUACGAACUAGAGAGCCAGCAAUGGCAUUUUGUUAGAGUCGGGUUGCUUGAGAGUGCAACCUAAAGAGCGAGGUAAACUGCUCGUAAGGCUAUUAGAGAAAUAUCGCUAUGACACCGAUAGCAAACAAGUACCGUGAGGGAAAGUUGCAAAGUAUUUYGAAGAGAGAGUUAAACAGGGCGUGAAACCGCUAGCUGGUAAACGAGUGGAGCCACGAAGUCGUUUCGUAGAAUAAAGAAUACAAAUUCAAUUAGGGUCUCGGCCCUGGUGCACUUUUGUUUAUUCUUCUAUGUAUGCGUACACUGCAACCAAUUAGACAAUCAAUUGUGGAAACAAUUGCUUGGUAUAGGAAGAAAUUUUUGUACUAGGUAAUGAAAUAUCAUAUACUAGCUGUAGGUAGCUUGGUCUAAUCCUCGUGGUUAUACUGAGUGUAUGACAUGUUAGUAUGAGAACUACAAUUGAAUACUGAUUGGCACAAUGAAAAUCCAAAAAUUUGGUACCAGAUAACACUGGCAGUGUUGUAUAUAUGUACAAAUAUUUAUUAUUAGCGUAAGCUUAGUAGUUUUAAAUUUAGACUGGCAGGCUAUCUUGGAUUUCGGUUCUUGAUGCCUGUUUAGCUUUCUAUCUAAUUGGCUAUUAACUUUGCUAGUAAUCUUGUGUUUGCUAUGAUAGCAUGUAUGCAACAAUUGUUUAGUUAUUAUAUUGGCAGUGAGUAGGUCGGCUUUCCACACGACCC
RNAcentral lists this ribosomal RNA (998 nucleotides) under Setoptus tsugivagus. Its description in RNAcentral is "partial large subunit ribosomal RNA". Lineage: Eukaryota; Metazoa; Arthropoda; Arachnida; Trombidiformes; Phytoptidae. The record is from RNAcentral.